UGGGGAAUAUUGGGCAAUGGGGGCAACCCUGACCCAGCGACGCCGCGUGAGGGAAGACGGCCUUCGGGUUGUAAACCUCUUUUGUACGGGAAGAAGGAAGUGACGGUACUGUACGAAUAAGUCCCGGCUAACUACGUGCCAGCAGCCGCGGUAAUACGUAGGGGACGAGCGUUGUCCGGAAUUACUGGGCGUAAAGGGCGCGCAGGCUGUGCUGCAAGUCAGCUGUGAAAUAUCUGGGCUUAACCUGGAUAUGCGGUUGAGACUGCAGUGCUGGAGUUCUGUAGAGGCAAGUGGAAUUCCCAGUGUAGCGGUGAAAUGCGUAGAUAUUGGGAAGAACACCGGUGGCGAAGGCGACUUGCUGGGCAGCAACUGACGCUGAGGCGCGAAAGCCAGGGGAGCAAACG
RNAcentral lists this ribosomal RNA (404 nucleotides) under uncultured bacterium. RNAcentral describes it as "bacterial SSU rRNA". It matches the Rfam family "Bacterial small subunit ribosomal RNA", at positions 355 to 774 of the family's 1533-position model. The record is from RNAcentral.